AGUGCUUAAACCUAACAGAGGAAGAAGUCUUUUCGGAAUACAAGCCCAAAUAAAUAUUUGAACAGGAAUGGUAUCUUCAUGCGUGUGGUGAAAAAUAGUCCUUUUCAGGCUGUACAGUUUGGCAGGCUGGCAUGUUGACUUUAUCACCUCGGGAUCUCUGGGGUUUCAGACACCUACCCGCAGGCGUCAUCACGAGCAUGCGCACACCCCUGCCCAGGGUCCUGAGGUUGCAGGCUGGGGCCUGUGAGCCGCUCCCAGGAACAUCCCCGGGGCCCAGCCCUCCAGUGCCAGGGCGAAGUUCUUUAUCCCGCCUUGGACACCACCAACGCCAUCGAAUGCCAUUUUAGUUGCGUCUACUUCGUAUCCCUGGAAUUCAGAACUCUGGUAUAAUAGGUAGAAGUGACAACCUUUCUAUCCCGGGAUGAGUUCUGCUUCUCUCAUUUCACUUUUAUGAUAAAACUCCACACAUUUGGAUUGAGAGGGAAGGCAAGAAGCAGUUAAAAUUUUUGAGAGUUUGGAUGGCAGACUAUACUAAAAGGAAGCAUAGACCCUACCAGCCUGUAGGAAAAUAAUUCAUCUGGCCUGACUGUGUUUGUUACCACAUAGCCGGCACGGUUAUCUCAUGCCAGCACCAAGACCAUAUGAAGCUAAAUCAACAGACCCUGAUUUGUUGGCUCAACCAAGUAUAAACUAGCCACUGGAAAAUCGAGUUGAAAACAUAGGACAAAUAUAUGAAAGAGACAAGCCACAGCUUGCAGGAGAGAAGAUGUUUGCAGAAAACUCCAGCAUUACAGGUUUAUCUAAGGUGUGGUCUCAGAAAGUGUGGCAUCAAGAAGCAGUUCUCCAAUCAAUCCACAAGACACAUCUAAAUUAUUGAUUAAUUAUAGCAUCUGAAUUUAGAAAAG
Molecule: long non-coding RNA, 905 nt
Organism: Panthera uncia (snow leopard)
Lineage: Eukaryota; Metazoa; Chordata; Mammalia; Carnivora; Felidae
Exons: 3
Source: RefSeq, a predicted model, not a curated record